Molecule: ribosomal RNA, 1102 nt
Filed under: Candidatus Berkelbacteria bacterium CG_4_10_14_0_8_um_filter_42_34
Lineage: Bacteria; Candidatus Berkelbacteria
Description: partial 23S ribosomal RNA
Rfam family: Bacterial large subunit ribosomal RNA
Source: RNAcentral
GGCUGAAGAAGGUCCCAAGGGUUUGGCUGUUCGCCAAUUAAAAGGGUACGCGAGCUGGGUUCAGAACGUCGUGAGACAGUGGAAUAUUGCGCUGUCUAUAAAUUUGGCUAUAUGCUGGGAACUCUGUAGUCCUAAUAGGACUUGUAGUAUCUGGUGGUACUUUGUAUUAUAGAAAUAUGUUACAAAGUGAAAAUUCAUCCAGUGCAGACAAUCAGCAGGAAAGGUCAAAAGAGUUUUUGCGCGGGUACGUUUGUGGUUUGGUUGAUGGUGAAGGCAGCUUUCACAUCGCUUUUGCGAUACGAAAAGACUUGCCUUUAGGAAUGUCUGUGAUUCCGGAGUUUCAUGUUUCACAGAAUUUCCAGAGCCGAAAUGUUCUAGAACUUGUUGAAAAAGUUUUAGGCUGCGGCUACAUUAAACCAAAUCACCGGAAUUCAAAGGAUGAGACUUUUGUCUAUGUCGUCCGAGAUCGGGCUGACCUUAUAACAAAAGUUAUUCCAUUCUUUGAAUUCAACCAUUUGCUUACAUCUAAAAAGCUUGAUUUCAAAAUAUUCUAUUCUGUUGUUCGAAUAAUCUGCUCUGGCAGACACCGAACAUCAGUUGGAAUGGCUGAAAUCAUCAAACUAGCUUACAAGAUGAAUGCUGGUGGAAAAAGACGUAUUCGUAAAAAAGAAGAAUUAUUAGCUCUUUUGAAAUCCUCAACGACUACAUGCCAAACUCCGAACAAAGUGUCGGAGAAGAUAUAGUCUAAACUGCAUAGCGAUAUGCAGAAUCCAAUUCGCAUUGGAUCGCCACAGAUAAAUUUCAGUAAUUGAUGUGGUUAUCAAGUAAUAGAUUGUCGGUCCUAAUCUGCUGUAGGCGUAAAGAUUUGAGUGGUGCUGUCCCUAGUACGAGAGGACCGGGAUGGACGAACCUCUGGUGUGCCAGUUGGAUGACCCUCAUCCAUCGCUGGGUAGCUAUGUUCGGUUUGGAUAAACGCUGAAAGCAUAUAAGCGUGAAGCCGUCCACAAGAUUAGAUCUUUGAUCCCCCAAAGACUAUGGGGUUGAUAGGCUCUAGGUGUAAGUCCCGUGAGGGAUUCAGCUGUGGAGUACUAAUUGAUCAAUU